Non-coding RNA from Arachis ipaensis, 192 nucleotides. The record is from RefSeq and is a predicted model, not a curated record. NCBI's taxonomy places the organism in Eukaryota, Viridiplantae, Streptophyta, Magnoliopsida, Fabales, Fabaceae.
ACCAUGAGAUCUCUACACCGUCAUCACCAAGCUUCACAAGCCUCUGAGGAGUCCAUUUUCUCUUAUCAGGAUCCGUAAUCGAAUCGGCAUGGGUUCUUGGUAACGUCGCUAAUCUUUUUAGUUGUUGGUAUAAUCGCGUGCCUUUUCACCAGAAUUUGCUGCAACAGAGGGCCUUCAACUAAAAUCUUUAAC